UACGUAGGGUGCGAGCGUUAAUCGAAAUUACUGGGCGUAAAGCGUGCGCAGGCGGUUUUGUAAGCCAGAUGUGAAAUCCCCGGGCUCAACCUGGGAAUGGCAUUUGGGACUGCAAGGCUCGAGUGCGGCAGAGGAGACUGGAAUUCCUGGUGUAGCAGUGAAAUGCGUAGAUAUCAGGAGGAAUACCGAUGGCGAAGGCAGGUCUCUGGGCUGAAACUGACGCUCAUGCACGAAAGCGUGGGGAGCAAACAGG
Molecule: ribosomal RNA, 253 nt
Filed under: uncultured bacterium
Lineage: Bacteria
Description: partial 16S ribosomal RNA
Rfam family: Bacterial small subunit ribosomal RNA
Source: RNAcentral